Molecule: long non-coding RNA, 1268 nt
Filed under: Sarcophilus harrisii (Tasmanian devil)
Lineage: Eukaryota; Metazoa; Chordata; Mammalia; Dasyuromorphia; Dasyuridae
Description: lncRNA (ENSSHAG00000031140.1)
Source: RNAcentral
AUGUGAUCACAUACAAUAAAGACUUGUGCUCGCAACCUCCUGUGUCCAGGUGCUCGGUUGAACAAAGAACUAUUGCUCGACAAGGCAGUGAUCAGAGACAUCUGAAGACCUGGGAUAAGGUGCAGUCCCAGCAGUUGAGGAGUGGAUGCCAACCAGAAACAUUCGUGAUCUGGGGAAUCAAGAAGAGAAGGACCAGACGACAUCGUCCCCAACGAUGGCCCCAAAGGAUCGGCCAGAUGUCAGUAGCCUUUCAGACACUGAUAACAGUCAUGUCUCUCCUGACCAUGACACCAAAAAUGGCUAACACAGAACCAGUGUUACAACUGAAUUGAACUGCCCUGGCUGAUGCACAAUGCCUAGAGGCUGACAAAACUGGAUAAUAGAUUUGGGCACUUCUCCCAUGGCCUCCCACUAUUCAUAUGGUGGACUGGGGAAAAGCUUUGCCCCACUUUCCACUUGUUGGCAACAUCUCCAAACUACUGGGUGAAAAACCAACAGACCCACCUGCAAAAUUAGUGAGUCAGUGCUGAAGAAUAUGUCCUUUCUUGUAUACAUCCCUUCCUUUGUGCCUUACUUUGCUGGAUGUAAAUAGGUUUAUACAAUUGAAACCACAGAACUUUUACCUUUUUUUGGUUUUGGUCCCUGUUGAGCCCAGCUCUUACUAUUUUAAUUUUGUUUGCCUUUGUCCUAUUUUUAUACACCUUGUAAUCUCACUAAUUAAGUGAGCUGUUAUUGAUGUUAAAGCCAGUUUGAGGCUAUGAGCAGACCCCUGCUAAACAAGAAAAGGUAGUUGUAAGGAUCUGAAGAGGAACCUAGCAUGGUGCAAUAAGGAAGUAAAAGGCCUUAGUGCCUGAGGCAUCUGGAUGUGAUCUCUGUAGCUAGCAGGAACUCCCACAAGUGCAGAAACUCUGACUUCAUGGAGGACGCAUCAUUAACAGGACAUGAAACCUUCUCUUAUUGGCUUUGCGUGUGAUCUCAUAGACCCAACAUAAAUAGUGGGGACCAGGAAGUAGCGUAGUGCAGGAUGUGAUCACGUACAAUAAAGACUUGUGCUAGAAAGCUCCUGUAUCCAGGUGCUUUGUUGAACAAGAACUACUACUCAACAAGGCAGUGGCCAGACAUGUCUGAGACCUGGGAUAAGGUAAGACUUGCAAGCAGUGACCUGGGUGUUUACACAGGCCCACUCCAUGGAGAUCUUGGGCAACCCUACCUUACUGUAUCCAAUAAGAAAGCCAAAUUAUGUCAAACCCCUAGGCUUAAAUUUCCAC